This 60-nucleotide transfer RNA is filed under the name Dipodomys ordii (Ord's kangaroo rat). It matches the Rfam family "tRNA", at positions 7 to 64 of the family's 71-position model. Rfam says of the family: Transfer RNA (tRNA) molecules are approximately 80 nucleotides in length. Their secondary structure includes four short double-helical elements and three loops (D, anti-codon, and T loops). Lineage: Eukaryota; Metazoa; Chordata; Mammalia; Rodentia; Heteromyidae. The record is from Rfam by way of RNAcentral.
GUGGCUCAGUGGUAGAGUGCUUGCCUUGCAUGCAUGAGGACCUGGGUUCAAUUCCUCAGC